Molecule: ribosomal RNA, 586 nt
Filed under: uncultured bacterium
Lineage: Bacteria
Description: partial 16S ribosomal RNA
Rfam family: Bacterial small subunit ribosomal RNA
Source: RNAcentral
UGGGGAAUUUUGGACAAUGGGCGAAAGCCUGAUCCAGCAAUGCCGCGUGUGUGAAGAAGGCCUUCGGGUUGUAAAGCACUUUUGUCCGGAAAGAAAUCCUCUGGGUUAAUACCUCGGGGGGAUGACGGUACCGGAAGAAUAAGCACCGGCUAACUACGUGCCAGCAGCCGCGGUAAUACGUAGGGUGCAAGCGUUAAUCGGAAUUACUGGGCGUAAAGCGUGCGCAGGCGGUUUUGUAAGACGGAUGUGAAAUCCCCGGGCUUAACCUGGGAACUGCAUUCGUGACUGCAAGGCUAGAGUAUGGCAGAGGGGGGUUAGAAUUCCACGUGUAGCAGUGAAAUGCGUAGAGAUGUGGAGGAAUACCGAUGGCGAAGGCAGCCCCCUGGGCUAAUACUGACGCUCAUGCACGAAAGCGUGGGGAGCAAACAGGAUUAGAUACCCUGGUAGUCCACGCCCUAAACGAUGUCAACUAGUUGUUGGGGAUUCAUUUCCUUAGUAACGUAGCUAACGCGUGAAGUUGACCGCCUGGGGAGUACGGUCGCAAGAUUAAAACUCAAAUGAAUUGACGGGGUCAUAGCUGUUUCCU